RNAcentral lists this ribosomal RNA (251 nucleotides) under uncultured bacterium. Its description in RNAcentral is "partial 16S ribosomal RNA". It matches the Rfam family "Bacterial small subunit ribosomal RNA", at positions 524 to 774 of the family's 1533-position model. The record is from RNAcentral.
UACAGGGGGUGCAAACGUUGCUCGGAAUCAUUGGGCGUAAAGCGCACGUAGGCGGUUCGUUAUGUCGGAUGUGAAAGCCCUUGGCUUAACCGAGGAAGUGCAUCCGAAACUGGCGAGCUAGAGUACUAAAGAGGAUCGCGGAAUUCCCGGUGUAGAGGUGAAAUUCGUAGAUAUCGGGAGGAACACCGGUGGCGAAGGCGGCGAUCUGGGUAGAUACUGACGCUGAGGUGCGAAAGCGUGGGGAGCAGAAC